AUACUUACCUGGCAAGGGAGAUACCAUGAUUGCGAAGGUGGUUUUCCCAGGUGAGGCUCACCCAUUGCACUCUGGAUGUGCUGACCCCUGCAGUUUCCCCAAAUGCAGGGAACUCCCUGAAUUAAAAAAAA
Molecule: small nuclear RNA, 131 nt
Filed under: Castor canadensis (American beaver)
Lineage: Eukaryota; Metazoa; Chordata; Mammalia; Rodentia; Castoridae
Description: U1 spliceosomal RNA (ENSCCNG00000012706.1)
Rfam family: U1 spliceosomal RNA
About the family: U1 is a small nuclear RNA (snRNA) component of the spliceosome (involved in pre-mRNA splicing). Its 5' end forms complementary base pairs with the 5' splice junction, thus defining the 5' donor site of an intron.
Source: RNAcentral